GACGAACGCUGGCGGCGUGCUUAACACAUGCAAGUCGAGCGGAAAGGCCCUUUCGGGGGUACUCGAGCGGCGAACGGGUGAGUAACACGUGAGUAAUCUGCCCCUGGCUUUGGGAUAGCCACCGGAAACGGUGAUUAAUACCGGAUACGACCACUUCUCGCAUGGGAUGGUGGUGGAAGGUUUUUCGGCCAGGGAUGUGCUCGCGGCCUAUCAGCUUGAUGGUGAGGUAAUGGCUCACCAUGGCUUCGACGGGUAGCCGGCCUGAGAGGGUGACCGGUCACACUGGGACGGAGACACGGCCCAGACUCCUACGGGAGGCAGCAGUGGGGAAUAUUGGACAAUGGGCGGAAGCCUGAUCCAGCAACGCCGCGUGAGGGAUGACGGCCUUCGGGUUGUAAACCUCUUUCAGCAGGGACGAAGCGCAAGUGACGGUACCUGCAGAAGAAGCACCGGCCAACUACGUGCCAGCAGCCGCCGUAA
Molecule: ribosomal RNA, 480 nt
Filed under: uncultured bacterium
Lineage: Bacteria
Description: partial 16S ribosomal RNA
Rfam family: Bacterial small subunit ribosomal RNA
Source: RNAcentral